AUGAAGUGGGAGGAUUGUCUUCCUUAUGCUGAAUUCUCAUACAACAACAGCUUUCAAGCAAGUUCGGGCAAGGCCCCCUUUGAAAUUCUAUAUGGCAGGAAGUGCCGUACCCCUCUCAACUGGUCUGAAACCGGUGAACGUCAGCUGCUGGGUAAUGACUUAAUCACAGAAGCAGAAGAGAUGUGCAAAGUCAUUCGUGAUAACCUCAAAGCAGCCCAGUCCCGCCAGAAGAGCUACUAUGACAGUAAGCACCGUGAAUUGGUUUUCGAGAUCGAAGAUCAUGUUUACCUCCGCGUCUCUCCCAUGAAAGGUACUCGUCGCUUCGGUAUCAAAGGGAAGCUUGCCCCUAGAUACGUGGGACCUUUCAAGAUUGUCAGCAAGAGAGGCGACCUCGCCUAUCAACUCGAGCUUCCUUCAAACUUUGCAAAUGUUCAUGAUGUGUUCCAUGUCUCUCAGCUUCGAAAGUGCUUCAAGACUCCUGACCGCACCAUCAACUUCGAGGACAUUGAGAUCCAAGAAGAUCUCUCCUAUCGUGAGCACCCAGUUGCUAUUCUCGAAGAGACUGAACGCAAAACUCGCAACAAGUCAAUCAAAUUCCUCAAAGUUAAGUGGUCUCACCAUUCCGACCGUGAAGCUACCUGGGAACGCGAGGAUCACCUCCGUUCUGAGUACCCGGAGUUCUUUCAGUCCUAG
Molecule: ribosomal RNA, 693 nt
Filed under: Triticum aestivum (bread wheat)
Lineage: Eukaryota; Viridiplantae; Streptophyta; Magnoliopsida; Poales; Poaceae
Description: partial small subunit ribosomal RNA
Source: RNAcentral